RNAcentral lists this microRNA precursor (91 nucleotides) under Tupaia belangeri (northern tree shrew). RNAcentral describes it as "miRNA (ENSTBEG00000018049.1)". The record is from RNAcentral. Lineage: Eukaryota; Metazoa; Chordata; Mammalia; Scandentia; Tupaiidae.
AUAUACACAAUAUAUGUAUAUAUGUAUACACACAUUAUAUAUGUAUAUAUAUGUAUGUGUGUGUGUAUAUAUAUAUGUGUGUGUGUGUAUA